UACGUAGGGAGCAAGCGUUGUCCGGAUUUACUGGGUGUAAAGGGUGCGUAGGCGGCACUGCAAGUCAGGUGUGAAAACCAUGGGCUUAACUUAUGGAUUGCACUUGAAACUGUGGUGCUUGAGUGAAGUAGAGGCAGGCGGAAUUCCCGGUGUAGCGGUGAAAUGCGUAGAGAUCGGGAGGAACACCAGUGGCGAAGGCGGCCUGCUGGGCUUUAACUGACGCUGAGGCACGAAAGCAUGGGUAGCAAACAGG
RNAcentral lists this ribosomal RNA (253 nucleotides) under uncultured microorganism. Its description in RNAcentral is "partial small subunit ribosomal RNA". It matches the Rfam family "Bacterial small subunit ribosomal RNA", at positions 524 to 776 of the family's 1533-position model. The record is from RNAcentral.